This 497-nucleotide ribosomal RNA is filed under the name uncultured bacterium. RNAcentral describes it as "partial 16S ribosomal RNA". It matches the Rfam family "Bacterial small subunit ribosomal RNA", at positions 28 to 507 of the family's 1533-position model. The record is from RNAcentral.
GAUGAACGCUGGCGGCGUGCCUAAUACAUGCAAGUCGAGCGAACGGACGAGAAGCUUGCUUAUCUGAUGUUAGCGGCGGACGGGUGAGUAACACGUGGAUAACCUACCUAUAAGGCUGGGAUAACUUCGGGAAACCGGAGCUAAUACCGGAUAAUAUUUUGAACCGCAUGGUUCAAAAGUGAAAGACGGUCUUGCUGUCACUUAUAGAUGGAUCCGCGCUGCAUUAGCUAGUUGGUAAGGUAACGGCUUACCAAGGCAACGAUGCAUAGCCGACCUGAGAGGGUGAUCGGCCACACUGGAACUGAGACACGGUCCAGACUCCUACGGGAGGCAGCAGUAGGGAAUCUUCCGCAAUGGGCGAAAGCCUGACGGAGCAACGCCGCGUGAGUGAUGAAGGUCUUCGGAUCGUAAAACUCUGUUAUUAGGGAAGAACAUAUGUGUAAGUAACUGUGCACAUCUUGACGGUACCUAAUCAGAAAGCCACGGCUAACUACGUG